CCUUCGAUAGCUCAGUUGGUAGAGCGGUGGACUGUAGUUGGUUGAUAUUUGAGAGACAUCCAUAGGUCGCUGGUUCAAAUCCGGCUCGAAGGA
This 93-nucleotide transfer RNA is filed under the name Dufourea novaeangliae. It matches the Rfam family "tRNA". From Rfam's summary of the family: Transfer RNA (tRNA) molecules are approximately 80 nucleotides in length. Lineage: Eukaryota; Metazoa; Arthropoda; Insecta; Hymenoptera; Halictidae. The record is from Rfam by way of RNAcentral.